Molecule: non-coding RNA, 1840 nt
Organism: Aegilops tauschii subsp. strangulata
Lineage: Eukaryota; Viridiplantae; Streptophyta; Magnoliopsida; Poales; Poaceae
Source: RefSeq, a predicted model, not a curated record
UCAAUACCUCUUCCCCAUCCUUCCCCAUACUUCUUCAACUCACGUUGAUACAACCUAGGAGCUACAUGUAUCACCUGGCUAGGUAGAGUUACGAUUACUGCUCAAAGAAAAGUAGAGUUAUGAUUCCUAUACUACUUGGACAAGCAAUCGUUGGUGAACUCUAACAAUCUGUGAGAUCUGUGGGCAACCAAAAGAGAGAACUAGCAAGGCUGGUGAGUUCUCUUUCACUAUUUUAUCUAGAUUCAUCGUGCUAAUUUAAGUAGUUCUAAGCUAUCAUGUAAAUGUAACAUAACUAUUUUAAAGGUUAUCGAUAUAAUCCAUGUUUUGCUUUUCCAUUUUUAGCAAAUAGAGCGGAUUCUGAAAUCACAUAUUUGAAUUAGCUUUUGGUCGGUCGACUUGAGUAGUAAUUCCUUUUAUUAUCCCAGUUGUUAUUUCUACCUUGCUCUGCUGUAUAAGAUAACUCCAUAUAGGAGGUCAAGCUUGAAAAAUGUAUAAUACCCGACUUGUCGAGAAUCAUGUUAAUAAAGCUGUCAUGAUAUUUUCCCUGCUUCAAAGUGCUCCCUGAGGUAUUAGUUAACGGUAGUCUGUAUUGAUUUUUUUGUACAGAAUUUGACCAUUUGUGCAGGCUUUGGUUCGUGAUGGAUCGACCUUAAAGUCUUAAUGAUUACCCUUUCCAACAAGCAACAGUGGGGUUGUUCUGCUCAAUCCUGCUAUUUUUUUAGUCCAAUAAUUUGUAUGUGUUCUUCGCCUCAGAGAUUUUAUUAAUUUCGGUUGGGUUCUAAUUAGAGAUGCAUAUAAAUAACUUUGUUCUGGUUUUCAUAAAAGUAAUAUGGCACACACCUAGAAGGUUAUUGAUUAUACGCUGCAACCCAUUUUAUUAAGUUGGGUUUUCUUGACACCAUUUUCUAUUGCAGGCUACUGAAUAUAUAUAGUUCUUGCAAGAGAACUAACAUAAGUGUAUUUCGGUGAGGCACCAGAUACAACAUCUCACUUUCCGUUUUGGAAAUUAUCUUUAUUUAACUCCAAGAGGUCACCAGCUGAAGGCUGUGUUUGGCAAUGGAAUAGUAAUUUGGCUGCUGAGGUAUCAAGUUUGUAACCAGUCUUCUGGAUCAGAGUAACUGAAAGUUGAUGUGUAAUAUUAGGGCUGUGAUUGCAGUGUAUCAAAUGGGCUAAUUUUUAUAUUUGACUCAUCACAUAUAAAAUUUGUAUUUUUUAAAAUCAGGAACAAAUAUAGUUUAAGUAUUUUGAAGUGAGAUGUGCUUUUUCAGUUGUUUGCCACAUGGUUUGUUUCAGGAUGGGAUAAUGAAUUGGUAAAUAUCACUUUCCUUUGUUGGUACCAAUACCAAUGCCACCAAGUGCAGUCAUAUUGACGACAGUCAAAUAGCCUUGCAGAAUGGACAAUGUUCAAAGAUAGCAAGCAUUAUGUCGUGUCUAGAUAUGAGUGGAAAACGUGCUACGUGUGUACUGCUACUACACCAGCCCAAGUACUUAUGUACAGUUCCUCCUGAAUUCAGACACUAAGAAGCUAAGCUUUUGCAAAUGAAUCUACUUAUCCAAGAGGCUGGCAACAAGAUCGGAUGUUCAAUAACUAGAGGAGCAACACUCGAUCGACAGGAAACUAUGAGCAUGCAUAUCAUCAAGUUUGCCGGUUCUACAUUUUAAACCUUAGCCAACUACCCACUUUCUAAUUUUCUUGCAUGCAGCGAAUUGACUUCCCAAAGAACUACAUAGAAGGGAUAUAUGUUUGAUUUGUUUUGAAUUGAUUGCAAGAAAUACAUGUAUGGCACAUACAACUCUAUUCUCAAAACAUAUAUGAAUGAAAAUUUAUUUGAUUUUUUUA